GAUGAAGAACGUAGCGAAAUGCGAUAAGUAAUGUGAAUUGCAGAAUUCAGUGAAUCAUCGAAUCUUUGAACGCACAUUGCGCCCGCCAGUAUUCUGGCGGGCAUGCCUGUUCGAGCGUCAUUUCAACCAUCAAGCCCCCGGCUUGUGUUGGGGACCUGCGGCUGCCGCAGGCCCUGAAAACCAGUGGCGGGCUCGCUAGUCACUCCGAGCGUAGUAAUACAUCUCGCUCAGGGCGUGCUGCGGGUUCCGGCCGUUACAAAGCCUUAUUUCCCCAAGGUUGACCUCGGAUCAGGUAGGAAGACCCGCUGAACUUAAGCAUAUCAAUAAGCGGAGGA
RNAcentral lists this unclassified non-coding RNA (335 nucleotides) under soil metagenome. RNAcentral describes it as "partial contains 5.8S ribosomal RNA, internal transcribed spacer 2, and large subunit ribosomal RNA". The stretch from base 1 to 120 matches the Rfam family "5.8S ribosomal RNA", at positions 35 to 154 of the family's 154-position model. The record is from RNAcentral.